Pogonomyrmex barbatus (red harvester ant) is the source of this 1847-nucleotide long non-coding RNA. Lineage: Eukaryota; Metazoa; Arthropoda; Insecta; Hymenoptera; Formicidae. The record is from RefSeq and is a predicted model, not a curated record.
AUCUUUAUUUUUCUUGCAUCGCUUAACUCUAAUUGUUAUUCCGAUGACUCGUCGUACUGGAUAUUUAUGUUUUGAUUUGUUAUCAUCGAAUAUAGCCACUCUUGUGAUUCUGUUACCCACAAAAGUGUGUUAGAUGUUGUGCAUCGCUGUUUGCAGUUUUUGAGUUGACCCGGCGCGUUUAAAUAGAGUUGCACUUCACAUGAUGCGUUCGUGUUAAUAUGAUAGGAAAAUCUCGUUCAUAUGUAUAUAUUUGCCUGUCUUGUAUACAUAUGAACGAGAUUUGUAGUUCGCUUUCGUCUGAUAAUAUGUAGUGGUGAUUUUCCUUAUCUGUCGCUACUAACGGGUAAUAAAUUUUUAUAAAUGUGAAGGUACUUUCGUAAUUGCAUAUCGGUAAUGAUAUAGUUUUUAUCAAUUUAAAUGUCGGAAACGCGACUAUCGGAAAACGAAUAAUCAUGUAGGUAUCUGGUUUGUUAAAAUACGCGCUUAUAAUUAUAUAUUUUUAAAUGAUACGCCAAUUUUCCACCCAUAUUUUAAACGGAAAAUGUAAGCCUUCAAUUAAUUAUGUUGCUGCUUCUCGCAGCUCUAUUAUAAUUUUUUUUCUAACGAUAGUAGUCGUGUUUGCAUUACUCCAUCUUUUGUUAACGACGAGUAGUCGAUUGUAUUUUCAUGUCUCUUAUAAAAUCUGUCAUUAUCGUCCGUAGUAUUAGUAAAUUUGACCAUGUCUUCUCUUUGAGUGUAUUUUACUAACUGUAAUCUGUACGAUAACGUUUUGUAAUCUAUUUUUGUUAUAGCUAAUGGUCUUUUCUAACGCGGCCUACUGUGACGUUAAUAAUUUUUAUUUGGUUUUUUUGUUGCUUGUUACAAGAUUUGCCGGUUUUCUUGCAGUAAUUGUAUCUGCUUGUUAAGAUGUUUGUCUUCGGCAUCUAUGGUGAAUAAUGUCUUACUUAUCGUACCGAUUGCGUUUAUUUAUCCUCACUUAUUAACGUAAUAUAUAAUUUUUAGUUGCAUUAAUAAUAAUGUUAGCUUUACGUUGUCUUUUGCAUUAUUUGCAUUAUAUUUCUGCACAUGAAUUAGACGGGGCUUAUGAUGCUCUUGCAUCUUUCAUUCGUUUGCUUUAGGUAGUUUUCUAUUUGCUGCGUUCUUUUUUUCAAUGUUUACAUCCAGUUUGAUUACUAAUUUCCAAGUCGUCUAUACCUGGUUCAUUGACUCAAUCUUUUCAAAAUAUAUUCCUGGCGUAUUGUAGAAUUUCUGCACUACAUACGGCGAUGCAGAGUCAGCUUCGGCGCUGUAGAAAUGUUAUUGUAUGGCUAGUGCCCUGCAAGAUUGAGAUUCAUAUUACAUUUCCUUGAACGGACUUUUAUUCUAUUUUAAUUUUUAUGCUGCUUGGCGUACGCUAGUUCAUCAGCAGCUUUCGCGCCGAAUUAUUCGUUAUUAGUCAUCAUGUUCUGUAUGUGUUGUAUCGUGUGUAUUCGGUUUUAUACACCGACUUUGCGCGUCGUACGAUCGCGUUUAUUGGCUCCAGGUCACGCUACGAUUGCGUGCAUAUGAUGUGAGCGGUGGUCGGAACGUGUAUUCUACAGGACGAGACGUGCGUACUUCCAAGCGGAAGCCAUGGAUUACUAGACGAAUUCUGCUGGAUCGGAUUUUGAUCAUCAUCUGUGACACUACUGGGGUGCGACAUGUGAAGGUAUUACCGCCGUAAUGCUAAGUUCCGGCAUUACGAAUCCCACUGUUGCCAGCAAUUUGUUGUGCCGCUCCGAGCACAACUAGGGAAAGUGACGGAAGAGGAGGAAGGGGACUAUUAACUUUACACUUGGUUUACAGAAUAAACGAGCUUUAUUAUUUAA